This 256-nucleotide ribosomal RNA is filed under the name uncultured bacterium. RNAcentral describes it as "partial 16S ribosomal RNA". It matches the Rfam family "Bacterial small subunit ribosomal RNA", at positions 99 to 354 of the family's 1533-position model. The record is from RNAcentral.
CGGACGGGUGAGUAACGCGUGAGGAACCUGCCUCAGAGUGGGGGAUAACACACCGAAAGGUGUGCUAAUACCGCAUAACAUAUGGGAGGGGCAUCCCUUUCAUAUCAAAGAUUUAUUGCUCUGAGAUGGCCUCGCGUCCAAUUAGCUAGUUGGCGGGGGUAACGGCCCACCAAGGCGACGAUUGGUAGCCGGACUGAGAGGUUGAACGGCCACAUUGGGACUGAGACACGGCCCAGACUCCUACGGGAGGCAGCAG